Molecule: long non-coding RNA, 608 nt
Organism: Panthera uncia (snow leopard)
Lineage: Eukaryota; Metazoa; Chordata; Mammalia; Carnivora; Felidae
Exons: 3
Source: RefSeq, a predicted model, not a curated record
UAGAAUCUAACAAUGGAAUGUUAGAUUGUGACUGGCUUCUUUCACUUAGCACAGUAUUUACAAGGUUCACUUAUGUUGUAAACAUGUAUCACUGCUCUCCUUUGUAUUGCCAAAUAAUAUUCCAUUGUGGAGAUGUAUCGUAUUAUUUAUCCAUUCAUCAGUUGAAAUGAACAAGUUUCCCACCUUGGAAAAUCUUCACCUAACCCUUCCUAAGUCCUCUACAGCAACAGCUCUGUUUCUUAGCCAAGACUGUGGAAUGAGAGGAAAUGUCUAGAAUUACUGAAAUCCAGAAUCUGAGUGGCAGAGGGCUCUACACCUAGUAGUUACACUAAAUUUUGUAGUUUAACUAUUCCUGAGACAGAGAGAGAUCAACAGUGAUCACACCAAGAUCCCAAUGCAGAAGGUAAGUAAGAAAGUGUGUCUGGUCGCUAUUAUCUGAAAAUAAAUGUCUUUCCUCUAGAAGCACUCACCCCUCUCACCCAGCAGCCCUCCACCUCCACCACACCUCACUGCCUGAGCUUCUAAAGGGGUUGUUUGGUUUUAAUUUAUGUCUCUGCUCUCUUCCUUACCUCUUUAGAGCACUAAUCCACGUUUGGCCAGUUCCCGCU